AACGUAGGAGACAAACGUUAUCCGGAGUUACUGGGCGUAAAGGGCGUGUAGGUGGUUUCGUAAGUCUGGCGUGAAAUUUCUCGGCUUAACCGAGGCAGGUCGUCGGAUACUGCGGAACUAGAGGACGGAAGAGGCGUGUGGAAUUCCGGGUGUAGUGGUGAAAUGCGUAGAGAUCCGGAGGAACACCAGUGGCGAAGGCGACACGCUGGGCCGUACCUGACACUGAGGCGCGAUAGCAUGGGGAGCAAACAGG
Molecule: ribosomal RNA, 253 nt
Filed under: uncultured bacterium
Lineage: Bacteria
Description: partial 16S ribosomal RNA
Rfam family: Bacterial small subunit ribosomal RNA
Source: RNAcentral